This 76-nucleotide transfer RNA is filed under the name Solirubrobacterales bacterium. Its description in RNAcentral is "tRNA-Ala". It matches the Rfam family "tRNA". Rfam says of the family: Transfer RNA (tRNA) molecules are approximately 80 nucleotides in length. Their secondary structure includes four short double-helical elements and three loops (D, anti-codon, and T loops). The record is from RNAcentral. Lineage: Bacteria; Bacillati; Actinomycetota; Thermoleophilia; Solirubrobacterales. RNAcentral also lists the same sequence under 3 other names.
GGGGGCAUAGCUCAGCUGGGAGAGCGCCUGCUUUGCAAGCAGGAGGUCGUCGGUUCGAUCCCGUCUGCCUCCACCA